Molecule: antisense RNA, 81 nt
Filed under: Tatumella ptyseos ATCC 33301
Lineage: Bacteria; Pseudomonadati; Pseudomonadota; Gammaproteobacteria; Enterobacterales; Erwiniaceae
Description: antisense RNA of dnaA mRNA
Rfam family: antisense RNA of dnaA mRNA
Source: Rfam by way of RNAcentral
UUUAGCAUUCGGUUUUCUGGCAAUAAUACCGUUACCGACGGCAUGUAACAGGUGAGUUUUCCCCAGGCCUGUACCGCCAUA